GGGUGACGAGUGGCGGACGGGUGAGUAAUGUCUGGGAAACUGCCUGAUGGAGGGGGAUAACUACUGGAAACGGUAGCUAAUACCGCAUAACGUCGCAAGACCAAAGAGGGGGACCUUCGGGCCUCUUGCCAUCAGAUGUGCCCAGAUGGGAUUAGCUAGUAGGUGGGGUAACGGCUCACCUAGGCGACGAUCCCUAGCUGGUCUGAGAGGAUGACCAGCCACACUGGAACUGAGACACGGUCCAGACUCCUACGGGAGGCAGCAGUGGGGAAUAUUGCACAAUGGGCGCAAGCCUGAUGCAGCCAUGCCGCGUGUAUGAAGAAGGCCUUCGGGUUGUAAAGUACUUUCAGCGGGGAGGAAGGCGAUACGGUUAAUAACCGUGUCGAUUGACGUUACCCGCAGAAGAAGC
RNAcentral lists this ribosomal RNA (409 nucleotides) under Klebsiella sp. Its description in RNAcentral is "bacterial SSU rRNA". It matches the Rfam family "Bacterial small subunit ribosomal RNA", at positions 86 to 491 of the family's 1533-position model. Lineage: Bacteria; Pseudomonadati; Pseudomonadota; Gammaproteobacteria; Enterobacterales; Enterobacteriaceae. The record is from RNAcentral.